UAGACAUUUCUGCCUGGGAAAUCAGAGU
RNAcentral lists this non-coding RNA (28 nucleotides) under Rattus norvegicus (Norway rat). Lineage: Eukaryota; Metazoa; Chordata; Mammalia; Rodentia; Muridae. The record is from RNAcentral.